RNAcentral lists this transfer RNA (73 nucleotides) under Candidatus Methanoperedens nitratireducens. RNAcentral's name for it is "Candidatus Methanoperedens nitroreducens tRNA-Thr". It matches the Rfam family "tRNA". From Rfam's summary of the family: Transfer RNA (tRNA) molecules are approximately 80 nucleotides in length. Their secondary structure includes four short double-helical elements and three loops (D, anti-codon, and T loops). The record is from RNAcentral. Lineage: Archaea; Methanobacteriati; Methanobacteriota; Methanomicrobia; Methanosarcinales; Candidatus Methanoperedentaceae.
GCCUCGGUAGCUCAGUCGGCAGAGUGCUUAUUCAGUAAGUAAGUGGUCGGUGGUUCGAUUCCACCCUGGGGCU